Molecule: non-coding RNA, 614 nt
Organism: Durio zibethinus
Lineage: Eukaryota; Viridiplantae; Streptophyta; Magnoliopsida; Malvales; Malvaceae
Source: RefSeq, a predicted model, not a curated record
UGUAUAUAUAAACGUAGUGUUUGUUUGUUUAAACAUUACAUUUCUAUAACAAUAAACACAUUUUUUGAAAACAUACAGGUAACAAGCUAUUGGAUUCGUUGUCGUCGUUGCUCGUCAUUUUCGUUGUCGUUUAUCUAGUUUCAGGAUAUAUCUGGAUCAAGCAACGAAAUAUCAAAAUGGCAUAUUUGGAAAAAGGCACAUAUUACAAAAACUUGAGAGUAUACUGAUGAAGGAACUGAAGAAAUGGCUAAAAAAAUGAGAAGAAGAGCCAGGGUAGGUAUCAUGAGUUAUCAUCAUCCAUACAAUAGCCGCACAAUAGCAACGAGCAGUCAUUCCAUCACCAGCUUCUGCAACAAAUAUUUUAUCAAAUCUUGAAGGAAGCUUUUUGGUAUUGUACAUGGAGAAAAGAUCAUGUUAGUCUUAUGUAGCUACAGUGAGUCUUUUUUUUUUCUUCUCAUUUUGGUUAUCUCUCUAUUAGUUUGUACUUUUCUCCUUUUGGUAUAAAACUAGAACUUCAUGAAUUGAAGGAAUAAGAAACAUUAGCUUUUAAUCUUUUUCUCAAUUGUCUUUUUCUUUUUUUUUUUUAGUUAUACUUACAAUUUUUAGCACAUAUA